This 253-nucleotide ribosomal RNA is filed under the name uncultured bacterium. RNAcentral's name for it is "partial 16S ribosomal RNA". It matches the Rfam family "Bacterial small subunit ribosomal RNA", at positions 524 to 776 of the family's 1533-position model. The record is from RNAcentral.
GACAGAGGGUGCAACCGUUGUUCGGAAUUACUGGGCGUAAAGCGCGUGUAGGCUGCUCCGCAAGUCGGAUGUGAAAGCCCUGGGCUCAACCUAGGAAGUGCAUUCGAAACUGCAGAGCUGGAGUCCUGGAGAGGAAGGCGGAAUUCUCGGUGUAGAGGUGAAAUUCGUAGAUAUCGAGAGGAACACCGGUGGCGAAGGCGGCCUUCUGGACAGUGACUGACGCUGAGACGCGAAAGCGUGGGGAGCAAACAGG